UGGGGAAUCUUGCACAAUGGGGGAAACCCUGAUGCAGCGACGCCGCGUGAGCGAUGAAGGUUUUCGAAUCGUAAAGCUCUGUCCUAUGGGAAGAUAAUGACGGUACCAUGGGAGGAAGCCCCGGCUAACUACGUGCCAGCAGCCGCGGUAAUACGUAGGGGGCGAGCGUUGUCCGGAAUUACUGGGCGUAAAGGGUUCGCAGGCGGCAUGGCAAGUCCGAUGUAAAAGGCGACGGCUCAACCUUCGUAAGCAUCGGAAACUGUCAAGCUUGAGUGAAGGAGAGGCAAGUGGAAUUCCUAGUGUAGCGGUGGAAUGCGUAGAUAUUAGGAGGAAUACCGGUGGCGAAGGCGACUUGCUGGACUUCAACUGACGCUGAGGAACGAAAGCGUGGGUAGCAAACAGG
RNAcentral lists this ribosomal RNA (403 nucleotides) under Fusobacteriota bacterium. RNAcentral's name for it is "Fusobacteria bacterium partial 16S ribosomal RNA". It matches the Rfam family "Bacterial small subunit ribosomal RNA", at positions 355 to 776 of the family's 1533-position model. The record is from RNAcentral. Lineage: Bacteria; Fusobacteriati; Fusobacteriota.